This 246-nucleotide ribosomal RNA is filed under the name Lacticaseibacillus casei 21/1. RNAcentral's name for it is "Lactobacillus casei 21/1 partial 16S ribosomal RNA". It matches the Rfam family "Bacterial small subunit ribosomal RNA", at positions 1 to 217 of the family's 1533-position model. The record is from RNAcentral. Lineage: Bacteria; Bacillati; Bacillota; Bacilli; Lactobacillales; Lactobacillaceae.
UUUAUAUGAGAGUUUGAUCCUGGCUCAGGAUGAACGCUGGCGGCGUGCCUAAUACAUGCAAGUCGAACGAGUUCUCGUUGAUGAUCGGUGCUUGCACCGAGAUUCAACAUGGAACGAGUGGCGGACGGGUGAGUAACACGUGGGUAACCUGCCCUUAAGUGGGGGAUAACAUUUGGAAACAGAUGCUAAUACCGCAUAGAUCCAAGAACCGCAUGGUUCUUGGCUGAAAGAUGGCGUAAGCUAUCG